GCUUGUCUCAAAGAUUAAGCCAUGCAUGUCUAAGUAUAAACUGCUUAUACUGUGAAACUGCGAAUGGCUCAUUAAAUCAGUUAUAGUUUAUUUGAUGGUACUUUCUACUCGGAAUAACCGUAGUAAUUCUAGAGCUAAUACGUGCGUAAAUCCCGACUUCUGGAAGGGACGUAUUUAUUAGAUAAAAGACCGACCGGGCUCUGCCCUAUCAGCUUUCGACGGUAGUGUAGUGGACUACCGUGGCGUUAACGGGUAACGGAGAAUUAGGGUUCGAUUCCGGAGAGGGAGCCUGAGAAACGGCUACCACAUCCAAGGAAGGCAGCAGG
This 326-nucleotide ribosomal RNA is filed under the name uncultured fungus. Its description in RNAcentral is "partial small subunit ribosomal RNA". It matches the Rfam family "Eukaryotic small subunit ribosomal RNA", at positions 30 to 432 of the family's 1831-position model. The record is from RNAcentral. Lineage: Eukaryota; Fungi.